GAAAUGCGAUAAGUAAUGUGAAUUGCAGAAUUCAGUGAAUCAUCGAAUCUUUGAACGCACAUUGCGCCCUUUGGCAUUCCGAAGGGCAUGCCUGUUCGAGCGUCAUUACACCAAUCAAGCCUGGCUUGGUAUUGGGCGACGGGGUCGGUCAAACCACCCCCCGCCCCAAAGACCUCUCCGGCGGGACGGACCGAAUCUCAGCGUUGUGCAAACGUGUCGCUGGCGAGACGGGACGGCCGUGCCGUUAAACCCCAUUUUCUUCAAGGUUGACCUCGGAUCAGGUAGGGAUACCCGCUGAACUUAAGC
RNAcentral lists this unclassified non-coding RNA (306 nucleotides) under plant metagenome. Its description in RNAcentral is "partial contains 5.8S ribosomal RNA, internal transcribed spacer 2, and large subunit ribosomal RNA". The stretch from base 1 to 105 matches the Rfam family "5.8S ribosomal RNA", at positions 50 to 154 of the family's 154-position model. The record is from RNAcentral.